CCUGCCCGCCGUGAUAUCCCCGGAGUUCCAGCCAGAAGACGGACAGUAAGCGGUGCUCACCAAUUUGCUCUGCCUCUUGAGAGUUCGCCUCCUAGCAAAAGCCCCUCAUCGUCACUGACCUUGGGGGCGUGGCGUUGGCAAGGGUGCGAGAGCGGAACCCGCCCCUCUGCUGCUGGCCACGCCCCUCUCUAAGCCCCGCCCAGCCGGCGGUGGGAGUUUGCCGUUUCCAUGCGAACGGUAAACAGAGCUGUUUUCUCCUCCGUCACUCCUGUCAUACCCAUGAUAUGAUUCUACCCGCUGAGCCCUGGAUGCCAGAGGGUGAGGAGCUGGUGCUGGUGUUCACAGUAAAGAAGUAACUCAAAGAAGCAGUUAAACUUGGGAGCUUAUAUACCCUUCUUUACAAAGAAAAGAGGGUUUGGGCUUCAAGGGAGUUUGUGGGGAAGUAACUGGGAAACAUAUGGAGAACUAAUGGAAGGUUGACAUAUGGUGUCAGAAAGUGGGAACUGAAUCGAUCUCACCUUCAUGGACUGGCAUCCUCUGGAAAUGGCUACAAUACCUACACGAGUCCCUUGUGUUCACCACUUCUAUGGACCGCUAGUUCCUCCAAUAGAAGCUUAGUCCUGAGCUAACAUCUGCUGCCAAUCCUUCUCUUUUUGCUGAGGAAGACUGGCCCUGAGCUAACAUCCGUGCCCAUCUUUCUCCACUUUAUAUGUGGGACGCCUACCACAUGGCUUGCCAAGUGGUGCCAUGUCUGCACCUGGGAUCCAAACUGGCAAACCCUGGGCCACCAAAGAGGAAUGUGUGAACUUAACUGCUGCGCCACCGGGCUGGCCCUGUAGUGAGAUCUUUAACCAUGCCACUUUAAGUCUUUUGUCAUUUACAGACAGUUAUUGUUUUACUCUGAUACUUUUGGAAAUGUGUCUCAUCUUCAGAGAGCUUCAUGGAAAGGACUCUGACCUUCUAGAAUUCAGGUUUCUAGUAAAAUUUCAAAUUAUAAAACUGAACUGGGUAAGAAAUUACAGUACUCCUACAGAGACUCAUGGCUUCAUAAAAUUGCUAACAAAAAGGUCAAAGAACAAAUAAAUAUUAAUUACAUGGGACUACAUGAACCAGGGAGGAUGCUCUAAUGUUUUUUUUUUCCAGAUUUAAAGAAAUCUUUUCUCUUAAGCUGUCACAACGUGGUAGGAUAUAUCUUUGUGAACAAAGAUGAAACAUUUACUUUUUCUCCCUACCUCAUCCCUCCAGAAUUCAGAAACUGUCAGUGAGUAUUCUUAUUUUCCCUUUAUAAAUAAUCAGACCAAGUUUUAAAUUUAAACAAAUGUUUUACUGUUAUUAUUUUUGGUAAAAAAUGAGGGUAAUUGUAGAGAGAAAAAUUAUGUUUGCACCUUUGUAGAUAUUAGAUUCUAGUCCUGUUAAUUGUCUUUGAGGUUUUGUUAUAUACCUGUUGACUGGAUUCCUCUGACCUAAGGUAUUGUCUUUGGUCUUGCCAACUAUUCCCAGUACCCUCUUUGGAAAACAUACUCACUCCACAUAAGAUAGUCACCAGCAGAUAAAUGUCUGUUGACAUACAACCUUCUGCUGAUCCCUCGUUGUCUUAUGCUAGUAUGACCAGUUACUGUAAGUUUCUACUGUCUUCUACUCAAGGCUUUCAUCAACAGGUAAAAGAAACUUUCCUGGAUUCCAAUUUAAAGCAUCCUAUUGGUCAGUCUAGAGCCUGGUGACUAGGUAUUCUGGAAGCAUCAUCAGAGGAAGACAGCCCUCAAGCCUUGUUGAAAAGGACCUUACCAAGUGCUCCUGACCACUGAUACUACUGCAGAACUAGAAGGCAUUGAACCUUGGAGAUACAUCUCACAGCUAAAGAAGGCUACACCCAACAUUUGGUCCUGUGUGAAUGCUGGAGACCUCCAAAUCAAACUGACCAGAAAGAGAAGCAGCCAACAUCUGAAACAGAUAGCUUUUCCAAGAUGGCUGCACCAAGCCUGUACACCUUUUACUCACUGUUGCACCUUACCUUAUUUUCUGUCUGUCUGUCUUGGAAAGACAAUACUCUUAUCCACAUCUCCCAAUCUAUUGCCAAAAGGGUAAAUCUUUCUGACUGUUGGGUUUGUCAUCAGAAGCCUCAUUCUGUACAUGAAUCUAGAGAAUCUUUUAGCACAUUUAAUUACCAAUCUCUCCACCAUUCCUCUCCUAAUUCCUUAUGCUGUCUAGAACUCCUUGCCUAACCAAUUGAACCUCCAGAAAUUGAACUGGUAACAUUGUAACUAUUGUAAAUGCCUCUUGUUGAACUUGGGUAAACACCUCCAGCAAGGUAAAGACAGAACUAGACAGAAUUUGAGCACAAGCUGAAAGAUUCGAUGCAGUGCCCACUGACAUCCCGUAGUUCUUUGAUCUGUUUAGCUGGCUACCCUCAAGAACUGUCUCUUGGUUCAGGUCUAUUCUGCAAUUUGGACUUAGCAUUUUGUUUAUUAUUAUAGAAAUUCUCACUUUUGUAAAACGUCUCUUCUGCAUGGCUUGAUGUUAUAAAAACACCACUUGGAUAAUGGUCGCUCAGUGUUUUGAAAUGAUUGCUAAAGCUUACAAGCCUUCACCUGAGAAACUUCAAGGAACUAAAGACAAUGUCUGCCCUUGAAAGAACUUGAUGGUAAGGCUUUUCUCUGCUCUGGCACUCCUGUUGCUCAAAUGUGGCCUAGGAUCUUAAGGAAAACACUUUCCCUCCUACAUGGGACAUGAAAUACUAGGAAUGAGCCUUUCUGGUUAUGAGAGACCAACAGUGCUUUGAUGACUGAUCAGCAAUACUUUCCACGAAAGGUCUUGAUCAAAAGGGGAAAAAUGUCAAAAUUGACUUUAGUGGAGCCAUUUUAAAAUGGAGUUGGAGCUGCCUCUCCAGAGAAACUGCCCUGCCGUUUUGAACCUUGGACUGGGCCAAACCUUUGGACUGGGCCAAAAUGGCCACUGUUUUACAAGCAAUUGUUUGAGGAGUCAGUAGGAGAAUGGACAUCCUGAUCACAAAGGCUGAGGAUUGCAGACUUUCUGAAGAUAGAAUCAAUACUCAAUCAAUGCUUAGCCAAGACUAACUUCUGCCUCCAACUCCAGUUAAAAUUCUUUGUAACAUAAACCUCCCUUCUUUGCCUUUAAAAGCCCCUGACUUUUACUUCCUAGCUGGAUGCUAUCUGUGCUCCCCAAAAUGAAAUUCUUUGAUCCCAAAUAAAUGCUUUGCCUCUUAAUCUGGUUUCU
Molecule: long non-coding RNA, 3234 nt
Organism: Equus asinus (donkey)
Lineage: Eukaryota; Metazoa; Chordata; Mammalia; Perissodactyla; Equidae
Source: Ensembl